UUGGACGGCCGCGUUGUUCAGACAUCCACACCUAGAAUUUCUCCAGUGGGUGGCCUGCUGAUAGGAAACAAACGUUAGAUCACAUUAAUUGCUUCCCAAAGAAAGUCAAAUCUCCUCAACGAACCCAGUAAUGAAGAAGCAGACUCCUCUUUUAAACACUGAAUUCAACAAACAAACUACAAUGGAAAAAGAAAAACGAAAUCAGUAUUCAGGAUUCAGUAUUUACAACAAAAUGGAGCCUUCGUAUACUUACCGUACGAAUUUUUUGUUUAAAUUCCUUCCCGGGUUCUUUCUCUUAUGCAUGAUCUCGUGCCCGGAAUCCACAUUCGGAAACAAAUCUGAUCGCCUCGCUCUGCUGGACUUCAAGAGGAGAAUAACAGAAGAUCCUCUCCAUAUCAUGAACUCAUGGAAUGAUUCGGUCGAUUUGUGCAGUUGGGUUGGCGUUACGUGCAACCAUGCGAACAAAAGAGUCAUGAUCUUGAACUUGGAAGCUCAAAAGUUGGUAGGCUCCAUACCGCCUUCAAUCGGAAAUCUUACUUAUCUUAAUGGAAUCAACUUGAUAGACAACAACUUUCACGGCGAAAUUCCUCAAGAAAUCGGACGUCUACUAGGCCUGCAGUAUCUCAACCUGUCUUCGAAUUCUUUCGGUGGGAAAAUUCCAACUAAUAUAUCUCACUGCACGCAGCUAAGAAUGCUCAAUGUUGGUUCAAAUAAGCUGAUUGGGUCAAUUCCGAACCAACUCAAUUCGUUGUUGAAUUUAGCCCAUUUUUUGGUUGGUAAAAACAAUCUCACCGGAACAAUUCCGGAUUGGAUAGGAAACUUUUCUUCCAUGUCUGCAAUCUCUCUUGAUAACAACAAUUUUGAAGGAAGCAUACCAUAUGCGCUCGGGCGGUUGACAAGCUUGGGAAGCUUCGAACUUGCAUCAAACAAACUUUCCGGUACGGUUCCUUCUUCAAUCUAUAAUAUAUCGUCGAUACACUCUAUUCAUGUUACCAACAACCAGCUGCAUGGAGAGCUCCCACAAAAUGUGGGGACUACUCUUCCUAAUCUUGAGUUAUUUGCUGGCGGUGUCAACAAAUUCACCGGAAGUAUUCCUGUUUCUUUGUCAAAUGCUUCUAAACUUCGAUUUCUUGAUUUUGCCGAAAAUGGCCUCACGGGAAAAUUCCCUGCUGAAAAUUUUGGAACUUUGAAAGGGUUGGUGAGACUAAACUUUGAUGACAAUAGGCUGGGAAGUGGGAAAACAAGUGACCUGAGUUCUCUCAGUUUUCUGGCCAAUUGUACUAAUCUUGAGGUGUUAAGUUUUAGUCGUAAUCGUUUUGGAGGGGAAUUGCCAGAGUCCAUAGGCAACCUUUCGACGAAACUGAGAAUUUUUACAAUGGGGGGAAAUUUAUUACAUGGAAGCUUCCCUACCCGGGUUGUGAAUCUUGUAAACUUGAUCAAUCUAGGAAUGGAACAAAACUAUCUUGGUGGUAGUGUCCCUGAUGUGAUCGGUAAGCUUCAGAAGUUGCACGGGCUGUAUUUGAAUCUUAACCAAUUCUCUGGGACAAUCCCGUCGACGCUAGGCAACUUGACUUCAGUCACAAGGCUCUUCAUGGAGGGGAAUAGGUUUGAGGGAAGCAUACCUCCGAGUCUCGGGAACUGCCAAAGCUUAUUGAUGCUUAACCUUUCUAGUAAUCAGCUAAGUGGCACCAUACCUAAAGAGGUUAUCGGGCUUUCAUCUCUAUCAAUUUCUUUGUCCAUGUCGAACAAUUCUUUAACUGGUUCUCUACCAUCUGAAGUGGGCGAGUUGGUACAUCUCUCGGAGCUAGAUGUAUCAGGAAACAAGUUAUCGGGUGAAAUCCCCAUAACCCUCGGCAGCUGUACUAGUUUGGUGAGCCUACAUUUGGAAGGUAACCAAUUUGAAGGAACAAUUCCUCAAUCUCUAGCCAACUUAAGAGGCUUGGAAGAAAUAGAUAUUUCACGCAAUAAUUUAUCUGGCCAGAUUCCUGAAUUUUUAGGUAAGCUUGGAGCUCUGAAGCAACUCAAUAUUUCCUAUAAUGAAUUUGAGGGUGAAUUGCCCACAGAAGGGAUAUUUUCAAAUGCGAGUGGUUUCUCGGUUCUUGGAAAUAAUAAGCUCUGCGGUGGCAUCCGAGAAUUACGUCUACAUGAAUGCACCAGCAAAAAAUCUCAUUCAUCUCAAGGACUACUUGCCCCGAAAGUAAUAAUCCCUCUAACUUGUGCACUUGCAUUAAUAAUUACUCUGUCAUGUUUCAUUGCUUCUUGUGCAUUGGUGAAAAGGUCAAGAGGUAGACCUUUACCUUCACGUUCUAAUGAAGAAUCAAAAUCAGGUGUCUCUUAUUUACAACUGGUUGAAUCAACCAAUGGGUUCUCUCCAGAAAAUCUCAUUGGUUCGGGAAGUUUUGGUUCUGUAUACAGGGGAGUACUCUCUGGUAAUGGCAUCAUAGUUGCCGUUAAGGUGUUAAACCUUCAACAAGAAGGAGCUUCCAAGAGUUUCAUUGAUGAAUGCAAAGCUUUAAGAAGUGUAAGGCACCGCAAUCUUCUCAAGAUCAUAACUGCAUGCUCAAGCAUUGAUAGUCAAGGUAAUGAGUUCAAAAGUCUAGUUUAUGAAUUCAUGGAAAAUGGAAGCCUGGACCCUUGGCUGCAUCCAAGGGAUGACGAAGAAUCUCCAAACAAGAGAUUGAGCCUUACCCAAAGACUGAAUAUUGCCAUUGAUGUCGCUUCUGCACUAGAUUAUCUACACCACAAUUGUGAAACAUGCAUUGUUCAUUGUGAUUUAAAGCCAAGCAAUGUUCUUCUUGACGAAGAUAUGGUUGCUCAUGUUGGUGACUUUGGCCUAGCAAAGUUCCUCUUGGAAGCAUCAUAUGGUACAACCUUGUCAGUAGGGCUAAAAGGUUCCAUAGGCUACAUUCCUCCAGGUAUGGAUUUCUAUGAUCCUCAUUUGUUAUAUUCUUUUAGCACUAAAGAAAUUUCAAAUAUGCUAUAAAUUCUAAGCAUGAACUGUUUUGAAUGGCAGAGUAUGGGAUGGGAGGACAAGUCUCCACACAAGGAGAUGUUUAUAGUUACGGGAUACUGUUGCUAGAAAUGUUCACAGGAAAAAGGCCAACUGAUGACAUUUUUAAAGAUGGUCUAAGCAUUCACCAAUUCACCGCCAUGGCAUUGCCGGACCAUGUCAAGGACGUAGUUGAGCCCUCAUUGCUCCUCGAAACAGAUGACGAAGAUGUUGAAGAUGAUGAUGGCGACGGAUAUGGGAAUAAAAUACGGGAAAGACCACUGGCCAAAUACAAGGAUCCCGGCCCGGACAAAGCAAAAAAACUGGAGGAGUGCUUGUAUUCGGUGAUACAAAUAGGCAUCUCGUGCUCCGCAAUAUCACCAGGAGAGCGGAUGCGUAUGGAUGUGGUUGUCAACAAAAUGGGUGCACUUAGAGACUCAUAUCUCAACUUAAGAAGAAGAAGAUGAUGACGAUUACAAUGUGCAACACCAGGCUAAGUUUCUUUACCUAUUCCGAUCUAUAUAUAGCUUUUAUCUGUAUAAAUGUAUGUGACAUCAUGUAAGAUUGAAUCAAUAUUUUAUCACUAUAUAUAUUUGUCUCUUCAUAAUCGCAGGGCUUGGAAUUUGGUUGGUUUAAGAGCAUUUCAUGCUUGCACCUGAACUACUCAAGAGUUCUAUUACCUCUUUCCUUACUUCGGUUGUAUAAAAAACACCAAUCACACAAUUUGAUACUACUUUUCUAAAACAAAACUUAUCAAUCAUGUUGAAGGAAGAGACAUACGCCAACAAAACAAAGAGAUAUUAUUCGAUAGACAAGGGCACACUUACCAGGUCAUGAAGUAGCAGCAAAGUUGCACACCACCGCAAAUAAGUGUUCCCAGUAAAAUUACUGCAAUUUGAGCUUCCAUAACAGUAAGAAGAAUCAACUUUUCAGUAUGAAUUUGUGUUGAUCGGUCUGGGAUUAAAUUUCGCAGAAUGAUCCCUAGGGAAAGAGGGGGAGGAGUCAGGAAAAGAGGUUCUUUGAGGCUUUUUAUCUGGUUAUUUAAAUUUGGAAUAAAGGAAAGAGAAAAAAAAUAGAGGGAUUUGAUUUGGAGGUUUUAGUGUAAAGGUCACAAAAUACUUCUAAUACUAAGAUUGAGUCAAUC
Molecule: long non-coding RNA, 4133 nt
Filed under: Malus domestica (apple)
Lineage: Eukaryota; Viridiplantae; Streptophyta; Magnoliopsida; Rosales; Rosaceae
Description: long non-coding RNA (MDOM_LNC011561)
Source: RNAcentral